RNAcentral lists this non-coding RNA (32 nucleotides) under Homo sapiens (human). Lineage: Eukaryota; Metazoa; Chordata; Mammalia; Primates; Hominidae. The record is from RNAcentral.
UGGGAGCUUGCAUUUCCUCCUUGUAGGAAGAC